RNAcentral lists this unclassified non-coding RNA (425 nucleotides) under soil metagenome. RNAcentral's name for it is "partial contains 5.8S ribosomal RNA, internal transcribed spacer 2, and large subunit ribosomal RNA". The stretch from base 1 to 120 matches the Rfam family "5.8S ribosomal RNA", at positions 35 to 154 of the family's 154-position model. The record is from RNAcentral.
GAUGAAGAACGCAGCGAAAUGCGAUAAGUAGUGUGAAUUGCAGAAUUCCGUGAAUCAUCGAAUCUUUGAACGCACAUUGCGCCUUCUGGUAUUCCGGAAGGCAUGCCUGUUCGAGAGUUAUUAACAACCGUUUCGAUCCCUUUCUUUCAGAAAUUACAAAGAGGAAAAGGGUUUGGUUAUGGUGGAGGAGGGAAAGGGAGCGUUUAGCCUGUAAAAAAAGAGGCUGUGUUCCGCCUCCCCCCCAAAAUUGUACAGGCGGUCGUGUGCGCCCACGCAUCGAGGUGUUGUAAAAGCUGCCACGGCACUUUUCACCUGUGCAGUGCGAGAUUGGCCAGCCGGUUUAAAAACCCCUCCAAACAAUCAAAGGUUGACCUCGGAUCAGGUAGGGAUACCCGCUGAACUUAAGCAUAUCAAUAAGCGGAGGA